ACGAAGUCGUAGGGUAACUUGCGACUGAGUGGCGGAAGGGUUAGUAAUACAUGGAUAACCUACCUUCGACCUGGGGACAACGACUGGAAACGGUCGUUAAUACCGAAUGAGGCUUAAUGGUGGAAUCAUCGUUAAAUCAAAGUAGGGGAUCUCGAAAGGGACCUGGCGGUGGAAGAGGGGUUCAUGGGAUAUCAGCUAGUUGGUGUGGUAAUGGCGCACCAAGG
RNAcentral lists this ribosomal RNA (224 nucleotides) under uncultured Chlamydiales CRG66. RNAcentral's name for it is "partial 16S ribosomal RNA". It matches the Rfam family "Bacterial small subunit ribosomal RNA", at positions 66 to 273 of the family's 1533-position model. The record is from RNAcentral. Lineage: Bacteria; Pseudomonadati; Chlamydiota; Chlamydiia; Chlamydiales.